Molecule: ribosomal RNA, 448 nt
Filed under: uncultured prokaryote
Description: bacterial SSU rRNA
Rfam family: Bacterial small subunit ribosomal RNA
Source: RNAcentral
UCGAGAAUCUUCCGCAAUGGGCGAAAGCCUGACGGAGCGACGCCGCGUGCAGGAUGAAGGCCCUCGGGUUGUAAACUGCUGUCACGGGUUAUGAAAUCGGUGAGGUUAAUAACCGAUCCGUUGACGUAAGCCCGAAAGGAAGCACCGGCUAACUCUGUGCCAGCAGCCGCGGUAAUACAGAGGGUGCAAACGUUGUUCGGAAUCACUGGGCAUAAAGCGCACGUAGGCGGCGACGUAAGUGUGAAGUGAAAGCCCACGGCUCACCCGUGGAACUGCUUUGCAAACUGCGUUGCUCGAGGACGGUAGAGGAGAGCGGAACUCUUGGUGGAGCGGUGAAAUGCGUAGAUAUCAAGAGGAACACCGGUGGCGAAGGCGGCUCUCUGGUCCGUUUCUGACGCUGAGGUGCGAAAGCCAGGGUAGCGAACGGGAUUAGAUACCCCCGUAGUCC